Molecule: ribosomal RNA, 253 nt
Filed under: uncultured bacterium
Lineage: Bacteria
Description: partial 16S ribosomal RNA
Rfam family: Bacterial small subunit ribosomal RNA
Source: RNAcentral
UACGGAGGGAGCUAGCGUUGUUCGGAAUUACUGGGCGUAAAGCGCGCGUAGGCGGCUUAUCAAGUCAGAGGUGAAAGCCCGGGGCUCAACCCCGGAACUGCCUUUGAAACUAGUAAGCUAGAAUCUUGGAGAGGUCAGUGGAAUUCCGAGUGUAGAGGUGAAAUUCGUAGAUAUUCGGAAGAACACCAGUGGCGAAGGCGACUGACUGGACAAGUAUUGACGCUGAGGUGCGAAAGCGUGGGGAGCAAACAGG